AAGUACGAGGACAAUUUGAGGACAUGCCUCCUUAUGAAUCACGAAGGUGAGUGCGGCUGAUCUGGCUGGCUAGGCAAGGGUCCCCUUCCUAUUUCAGAAUUCAGAGUGCUUACUGCUUCCUGCUCUAGACCUCCUAGAGAGAAGGAGGACCAUUCUUUAGCCCAGGGCAUGCAAGUAAAUGCAUUCCCCCAAUAGAAUCUCCAAACAAAUUCUCAGAAGCAGCCUCAAGGGGAGGUUCAGGAAAGAGAGAAGAACCCACCGGGGGCUAUGUUGGGACCUCCACUCAU
Molecule: small nuclear RNA, 287 nt
Filed under: Rattus norvegicus (Norway rat)
Lineage: Eukaryota; Metazoa; Chordata; Mammalia; Rodentia; Muridae
Description: 7SK RNA
Rfam family: 7SK RNA
About the family: 7SK was discovered as an abundant small nuclear RNA in the mid-70s but a possible function has only recently been suggested. Two independent studies have found that 7SK RNA binds the CDK9/cyclin T complex (known as elongation factor P-TEFb).
Source: Rfam by way of RNAcentral